GGACUACUCGGGUAUCUAAUCCUGUUUGCUCCCCACGCUUUCGCGCCUCAGCGUCAGUAUCGGGCCAGUGAGUCGCCUUCGCCACUGGUGUUCUUCCGAAUAUCUACGAAUUUCACCUCUACACUCGGAGUUCCACUCACCUCUCCCGAACUCAAGAUACCCAGUAUCGAAGGCAAUUCCAGGGUUGAGCCCUGGGCUUUCACCCCCGACUUAAGUAUCCGCCUACGCGCCCUUUACGCCCAGUAAUUCCGAGCAACGCUAGCCCCCUUCGUAUUACCGCGGCUGCUGGCAC
RNAcentral lists this ribosomal RNA (292 nucleotides) under uncultured bacterium. Its description in RNAcentral is "partial 16S ribosomal RNA". The record is from RNAcentral.